UAUGCAUGGUUAAUAUUUUCUGAUGAACAAUUGGCUUGCAAAUUGGUUUAUAAAUGGAAUUUGGUUUGAAAAUAAUUAAGGUGUUGGCGUGAGUGCGUGUGACUAAUAUGAGUCAAGUUACGAUAUCUGUGCCCGAAAACGGUUGGUUUGUCUCUACGUGUGCAGGUGACUUGAGGUCAAUAUCAGUCAAACAGCGGCAGGAUCGUGACUAAGCUCAGCGAGAAGUUGAGGUCCAGACGGUCGAGAAUGUCGGGUGACGAUAUUAAAUAUAAGGUGACAUACGGUGAAAGAACACCGUAUAGGGAUGAUGUGUAACGAGAUUCACAUACUGUUUGGGAAAGCGCCUGGAUAAAUUAGGAAGAAAAUUAGAGAUUAAUGGACGAAGGAAUGAAGAAAAGAAAAUGAGAGAUACUGUGCACGUGCCACGCGGGUUGGACUCUGGACGUUCGUACACGGUCGGAGUCCUAUGCGUUAGGCCGUACGUGCGAAACCGUGAUUUGGUUUGAAGGC
This 510-nucleotide long non-coding RNA is filed under the name Oryza brachyantha (malo sina). Its description in RNAcentral is "long non-coding RNA (OBRA_LNC000156)". The record is from RNAcentral. Lineage: Eukaryota; Viridiplantae; Streptophyta; Magnoliopsida; Poales; Poaceae.